Long non-coding RNA from Jaculus jaculus (lesser Egyptian jerboa), 3220 nucleotides. RefSeq lists it as uncharacterized. The record is from RefSeq and is a predicted model, not a curated record. The transcript is spliced from 3 exons. Lineage: Eukaryota; Metazoa; Chordata; Mammalia; Rodentia; Dipodidae.
AGUGCGGCAUAGCAGAGGCAUGCAGCUAGGCACGGAGUCUGAAACUUUUCUUUUCCUGCUGCUGUUUGAGAGUUUCCCAAGGGAAGAGUUUACCUUUGCAUAGCCAGGAGCCGAGAUGUGGUCUGCAUGCACAUGAUGGCAUCUACCGAGGCGCGUGAACUUUCAGCUAAGCAGCCCUCGUCAACUGUGACUGGAAAUCAGGAUGCCAGCAAGGCUGUAUUAGCCCUGGCUCCUUCUGCUUGAUGUUAUGUGAGUUGGAUGAGUCACCCCGGCAACCAAGAAAGAGGCAUAACACACCAUUUUACCUUCUCUUGUGAUGUUAGGGGAAUAUAACCCUUCUUCACAACAAUGUCCGUGUGUGUGUGUGUGUGUGUGUGCGUGUGUGUGCAUAUGUGUGUGUGUAUGUGUUCUAAUUUACUGAAUAACCUAACAGAAGUCGUCAUGGAUUUUUUUCUAAUGAUUUAAAGAAAGGAGAAAAAGGCAGCCUGUGGAGACUGUGAUGUGAGGCAGCAGCACGUUGGUGACUGCCAACCCGAAAUACUUGGCUUGUGAAGCCAAGCCCGGAGGGACAAGCUUGCAACUGAGAAGAGAUCCUAGAUAAAGAAAUAAAGAUGACAAGCAGAGUGGAGACUGAAGGGACCAGCAGCAUCCGCUCAGGGAUGGCAGUUUUGUCAGGCUGAGACUGAAUAAUUCAUAAACUGAAAGUACCCGGGUUCUCACCUUUCCAUUUAAACCAGCAUGAUCUGAAUCUCUAAUAAAAUUUCAAGAUAAAGUAAAAUGCCAAUUUGAAUCUGAAGAGCUUUUAAAGUGGAUGUCGCAUUCCCGACUCUUUCGACAUUGCACAAUGAAGCUAGGAGAACUGCACUCCAUCAUGAAGACCAGGGAAAAUGAUGUAAUUACAAUAGCAACAAGAGAAUGCCAUCAAGUGGCCUCUAAUUCACCUAAUUUGCUAAGACUGACUGUGGUUUGAAUACCCAUUGCAUGUCGCCAUGCCCGAUAGCCAUGGAUCUAUCUCGGAAUGUAACAACAGUGGUGUGGCUGUGAACAAAUCUAAGUCGGGAAGCCUGGCACAGAGUUACAAUGCCUCUUUCAUUUGGUGGGCAUCUUUGCCUUUUUGCUUUUCACUCUUGAUGCUUUUGCCCCAAAUGCCUGUUUGGAGGAAGUGGUGUGCCUGUUGUGCAUUGGGGUUGAUUCUUUGCUACAGAAUAAUAUUGGCUUGCUAAUUUAUACACCCUCUUUAUUUCAGUGUAUAUGAGCAUGUGCUUACUAGAAGGGAAGAAAGGUUCAUUACGAGGAGACUGCUGUAAAAAAAAAUAGGCAGGAUGAAGUGUACAUGCUUGUUUGUUUUUUAAAAGCCCUAUCUGAUUCCUGGUAAGAAAUCCUUUCCUGGAGCUAUGAUCCCAGUGUGGUAUGUUGAAAACUCCCCAGCCACAGAGCUGGGGUGACAGAGCGUGUGGGAAGCACGUGCUGUGUUCUGAUGUGACUAGAAGAGGGAUGGCUGUGCGCUCACUGUGGACUGCGCUGAAGAACAUUUUGUCUGGCAGGCUGCUUGUUCACCUUGGGGAAAUGCAGCAGAUAACUGAGGUAUACCAGACACAUGGCCCUCCGACCCAGCAAGCAGGAGCACUGGCCACACCCCAUAUUUCAUAGGUUUCUGCUCUUCUAUUCUGCCUGCCAUCAUGCAUGACCCUUCUCAGCGAACAAGAAGCGAGUGGAGGCAGGGGACAUGCCUCCCCAGAGCCUGUGGUGCUCUGUGUAUACAGACCCUGGAGUCCUACAUUUUCUGCACAGCUUUUUCCCAAGGACCACCUUCCCACAGAUGAGCUACACAUAGGCACGUGCCCCUCCGGCUGACAGGUGCAUGGGAAGGGAACUGGUGGUGGAGGCCUUACCUAAUGCGAGCAAGCUGGGAGUGUGCAGGGAGAGCGGUCCGGCGGGGGGGGGGGUACACCACAUCACCCACAAGUAGGGAGGAGCUUCAAGGAAGAUUUUUUUUUUUAGGGUAAGAGGGUAAAACUUGUUUUAUUUAUUUAUUUAUUAUUUAUUUGUGCUUUUGCUACCCAUGCCAAGGAUGUGGUGUGGAAGUUCACAUUUGUACUCUUGCCUAUGCAAGCCUUGCAAACACUGGAAAGCUUUUGGAGAUUCUUCGUUCUUCAAGAAGCUGGUUGGGAUGUAGUUGUAUUUGCAGGUCAUUCUUGAUGGUUAACACACAGCGAAGAGAAAUCUAGAAAGACCAUUCACUAACUGAAGUUUCUAGUCUAUAUAAUUUUUGAAGUUACUAAAUUUACAAAAUAUAAAAGCUUCCUGGGUCUAAGGAGAAGGCUCAGUGGAGAAAGUGCUUGCCACAUAUUAUAGCCAGAGUUUAGCUCCCCAGCACCCAGUGGGUGUGAUGGCCCAUCUGUCAUCUUUUAUUCACCUCUGGUCUCCAUUCAUGCUUGCACAAGAUGUGUGUGUCUGCACAUACACGUGCAUUCAUCACACAUACAGCAAACCAGAAAUUCUACAUAUACUCACACAUGAAAUAUUUUAAUGCUACAAAACUCUUAUCCUGAUAGUUAAGCUUUUUGUCUUUCACCUUCUGCAUUUUGUAUCUUUUUGCCACAGUAUAUUAUUCCCUUUUUAAGUUCAUUUUGCAAAUUCCCAACCAAUAAGUCUGUGGAGAUAGGUCAGACUCUACUUAACUUGAGAGAGUUAACUGUACCAGAUAAAGGACAAGUCUCUCUCUCUCUCUCUCUCUCUCUCACACACACACACACACACAUUCUUGUACUGGGCCAGAGAUUAUCAUAAUAAAAGAAUAUAAAUUCACGAAGAAAUUGGGAAAAUAUGUGAAAGCAUAAAAAAGGAAAAUAAUCUCAACCAUAGUUCUAUUAUUCUUGAGACAAAAACAUACUCUUUAAUGUAUGUUCUUCUAAGAGUGCUGUAUACUCAUGUAAAUAAAUUCUGAGACUGGUAUUACCCUGUAUGCUCUGCUUUGGAACUUACUUUUACAAUUUAGUUUAUUAAGGGUAUGUUUUCCAAACCAUGAAAUAGUUUUUUUUUUUUUUUUUUUUAAAUCUAGCUUGCUAAUCGCUGUGUCUUUUUUCAGUGUGUAAUCCCUUUAUUGGGACAUCAAAAGUUUCCCCAGGUAUUCACUAUCAUAAAUGUAAUUGGGUGAUUAAUGAGAAUUUUCAUAUGGAAUGCUGAUAAUAUAUUGAAAAUAAACUUGACCUCAUGUCUA